AUGAGAUUUGGGAGGGGCAGGGGUGGAAUGAUAUGGUUUGGCUGUGUCCCCACCCAAAUCUCAACUUGAAUUGUAUUUCCCAAAAUUCCCACGUGUUGUGGGAAGGACCCAGCGGGAGGUAACUGAAUCAGUGAGGCUGGUCUUCCCCAUGCUAUUCUCGUGAUAGCGAAUACGUUUCAUGAGAUCUGAUGGGUUUAUCAGGGGUUUCUGCUUUUGCUUCCUCCUUAUUCUCUGUUGCCACUGCCAAGUCAGAAGUGCCUUUUGCCCUCCACUAUGAUUGUGAGACCUUCCCCAGCUACAUGGACGGGACUUACAGUAUCAUAAGAAAGAUAGACAUUUAAAUCAUCUCAACAAGGACAAUGGACAUCAUGGAAUCACACAGCAGGAGAACCUCGCCUAGUCUACCGAUCAGAUACUCCAUGCAGUUGUCACCUCCUCUAUGAAGCCUCUCCUGCCCCUUCCAAGUAGAACUGUCCAUUCCAUCUGUGGCAGAGUCUGGCUACAUGUUCAUCAAACCCUGUUUCAAAUAUCCUCCUCUGCAUGUCAUUACACUGUAUCUCCCAGCCCCCUUGCAUCUACAUGAGGCCGCAUGACCACAUGCUGGGUCACUUCUGGGCCAAAAUGGUAUUGGAGAGUCCAUCUUCUCCACUCUGGCUCUCUUUCCAUGCACCAGAUAGGUGAUUUUUAGUGAUCUUUAGUGGAAGAUGAAACAGGUCUGUAUCUCUAAAUGACUUUGUGGAGUGGAGCUUCCCUUCCCAAGCUGACCCACAAUAAACUCUGAUGUGAGCAAGAAAUACAU
This 799-nucleotide long non-coding RNA is filed under the name Homo sapiens (human). Its description in RNAcentral is "HSALNT0283364". The record is from RNAcentral. Lineage: Eukaryota; Metazoa; Chordata; Mammalia; Primates; Hominidae.